Molecule: ribosomal RNA, 381 nt
Filed under: uncultured eukaryote
Lineage: Eukaryota
Description: partial 18S ribosomal RNA
Rfam family: Eukaryotic small subunit ribosomal RNA
Source: RNAcentral
CAAUAGCGUAUAUUAAAGCUGUUGCGGUUAAAAAGCUCGUAGUUGGAUUUCUGUCAAGGACAACUGGUCCGCCCUCCGGGUGAGCACAUAGUUUGGUCUUGACAUCUUGCUGGAAGCUGUUGCUGCACUUGGCUGUGUGGCGCAGUGUUCAGCACUUUCACUUUGAGGAAAUUGGAGUGUUUCAAGCAGGCACAUGCCUUUGGACACAGUAGCAUGGGAUAAUUAGAUUGGGCUUUUGCUCCAAUUUGUCGGUUUCUGGAGCUGAGGUGAGUAUUAAUGGGGAUUGUUGGGGGCAUCCGAAUUUAGCCGUCAGAGGUGAAAUUCUUGGAUCUGCUAAAGACGGACAACUGCGAAAGCGUUUGCCCAGGAUGUUUUCAUUGA